Molecule: long non-coding RNA, 426 nt
Organism: Bombina bombina (fire-bellied toad)
Lineage: Eukaryota; Metazoa; Chordata; Amphibia; Anura; Bombinatoridae
Exons: 2
Source: RefSeq, a predicted model, not a curated record
GCUGCCCAGUGCAGCAGAUGAUCUUCUCACAAUGUGACAAUGAGAAGCAGCAGGGCAGCCAAAGCAGUCUCCCCCAGCCAGCCCCAAUACACACUUUGUAUAGUGUUCAGUGCACGGCUCACAAUGCUGCAGAUCAUGGUGCUUAACUUUAAACACAGUGCUCUGCCCCUCCAGCCCCCAUGUGUCCAGACCCUCUGUAGACUCAACCUCACUGCAGCCAGCACACAGGAGAAAAAAGCAGUAAGUACUUUCAGCAAGAUUACAAGCCAAUCAUCGCUGUUGUUCAUCCAAAAAGCCCACAAUGACACAGGCCAUCAGAAACAGCUGGAAGUCAGAAUAAAUACUACAGUUUUGUUUCAAUCUUGCAUAAAAACCUGCGCAGAUGAAACUGUGGUUAAAAAAUAAAAAAAGUCCAUGUGUUCCUUA